UGGGGAAUAUUGGUCAAUGGGCGAAAGCCUGAACCAGCAAUGCCGCGUGAGUGAUGAAGGCCUUCGGGUUGUAAAGCUCUGUCAGUGGGAACGAAUAAGCCGUUUAAUACACGGUGGUGACGGUACCCACAAAGGAAGCACCGGCUAACUCUGUGCCAGCAGCCGCGGUAAUACAGAGGGUGCAAGCGUUGUUCGGAAUUACUGGGCGUAAAGCGCGUGUAGGCGGUCUGGUAAGUCGGUUGUGAAAUCCCUUGGCUCAACCAAGGAACUGCAUCCGAAACUACUAGACUUGAGUAUCGGAGGGGAUGGCGGAAUUCCCGGUGUAGAGGUGAAAUUCGUGGAUAUCGGGAGGAACACCUGUGGCGAAGGCGGCCAUCUGGAAGAUUACUGACGCUGAGACGCGAAAGCGUGGGGAGCAA
RNAcentral lists this ribosomal RNA (419 nucleotides) under uncultured bacterium. Its description in RNAcentral is "bacterial SSU rRNA". It matches the Rfam family "Bacterial small subunit ribosomal RNA", at positions 355 to 771 of the family's 1533-position model. The record is from RNAcentral.